ACACUGCGCUGAGCACACAGAAGGUUCACCACCGGGGAUGCUGCCACAGUCUCAGGAGUAAUUUGCAUCAAUUCGAUAAACGUCUAUCUGGAAACAUCCAAGAGUCAGCCAGGAUGCUGGAGGAAGGUCCGAGAUCCAGGGAAUAACUUUGAGUGAUUGUAACGGGAGAGAAGAGGGACUCCUGGAGGUGCACAUGAGGUUAGUUCUGAAUGGGCUAACAAGUAAAAUAAGAAACAAUUUUGCACAAUACCUUGAAUGCCAUUGUGUGUUCAUGGUGAUCCAAUACUAAGACUUUCCUAUUGGUAACAGCCUGCAUUUAUAUACCUUCCGAGAUGGUAAGGGUGUCCCUAAAGAGUUGCUUGUGGAUGUUCUAAAUAAGUUUUAAGGUACCAUGAAGUGUCUGGGGCAUUUCUGGCCAACAACACAAGAGAAGGGGUAAUGGUCUAGGCAAUGGCA
RNAcentral lists this long non-coding RNA (456 nucleotides) under Macaca mulatta (Rhesus monkey). RNAcentral's name for it is "lncRNA (ENSMMUG00000052764.1)". Lineage: Eukaryota; Metazoa; Chordata; Mammalia; Primates; Cercopithecidae. The record is from RNAcentral.